AGCAGCCGCGGUAAUUCCAGCUCCAAUAGCGUAUAUUAAAGUUGUUGCAGUUAAAAAGCUCGUAGUUGAAUUUCGGGGUUAGUAGGUUGGUCAUGCCUCUGGUAUGUACUGGUCUCACUGAUUCCUCCUUCCUGAUGAGCCGUAAUGCCAUUAAUUUGGUGUUGCGGGGAAUUUGGACUGUUACUUUGAAAAAUUAGAGUGUUUAAAGCAGGCUUUAGCUUGAAUACAUUAGCAUGGAAUAAUGAAAUAGGACGUUUGAUCCUAUUUUGUUGGUUUCUAGGAUUGACGUAAUGAUUAAUAGGGAUAGUUGGGGCAUUAGUAUUCAAUUGUCAGAGGUGAAAUUCUUGGAUUUAUUGAAGACUAACUACUGCGAAAGCAUUUGCCAAGGAUGUUUCAUUAAUACAAGAACGAAAGUUAGGGGAUCGAAGACGAUCAGAUACCGUCGUAGU
RNAcentral lists this ribosomal RNA (449 nucleotides) under uncultured Glomus. RNAcentral describes it as "SSU rRNA". It matches the Rfam family "Eukaryotic small subunit ribosomal RNA", at positions 569 to 1024 of the family's 1831-position model. The record is from RNAcentral. Lineage: Eukaryota; Fungi; Glomeromycota; Glomeromycetes; Glomerales; Glomeraceae.